CCCUGCAUACAUUUUCUACCCUCGUUUCAGCUCCUUUCUUAAUCCAACCAAUCUUAUAAGGAGACGGGUGCUUUUCUGUCUUCAAUCCCAUCGCACGAACCAACGCAGAGGAAACAAUGUUUUCGCUGCUGCCGCUGUCAAUAAUCACGUUGCACAUAGUUUUGUUGAUAGUGCAGCAAGUUUUGAAGAUGCUGUGGCGUUGCGAUUCUUCUUCAUUCUUCGGGGCAAAUAAAAUUCGCUGAACUACAAAGGAGGCCGGAACUCCCUGAUCCGGCGCCGUCACCUCGACGUCUUCAUCGUCGGUCUGCCCCUCUUCAUGAUCCUCCUCCUCA
Molecule: long non-coding RNA, 332 nt
Filed under: Phoenix dactylifera (date palm)
Lineage: Eukaryota; Viridiplantae; Streptophyta; Magnoliopsida; Arecales; Arecaceae
Description: long non-coding RNA (PDAC_LNC019544)
Source: RNAcentral